AGAGUUUGAUCCUGGCUCAGAAUCAACGCUGGCGGCGUGCCUAACACAUGCAAGUCGAACGAGAAAGUGGAGCAAUCCAUGAGUACAGUGGCGAACGGGUGAGUAACACGUGACUAACCUGCCUUCGAGUGGGGGAUAACCUCGGGAAACCGGGGCUAAUACCGCAUAACAUCCUCAGGGUGCAAUUCCCAGGGGACCAAAGGGGUAAGACGCUUGAAGAGGGGGUCGCGGCUGAUUAGCUAGUUGGUGAGGUAAUGGCUCACCAAGGCGAAGAUCGGUAGCCGGCCUGAGAGGGCACACGGCCACACUGGCACUGAAACACGGGCCAGACUCCUACGGGAGGCAGCAGUGGGGAAUCUUGCACAAUGGGGGAAACCCUGAUGCAGCGACGCCGCGUGAGCGAUGAAGCCCUUCGGGGUGUAAAGCUCUUUCGGCAGGGAAGAUUAUGACGGUACCUGCAGAAGCAGCUGCGGCUAACUACGUGCCAGCAGCCGCGGUAAUACGUAGGCAGCAAGCGUUGUUCGGAGUUACUGGGCGUAAAGGGUGUGUAGGUGGCCUGUUAAGUUCCGUGUGAAAUCUCCCGGCUCAACCGGGAGGGUGCGCGGAAAACUGGCGGGCUAGAGUACGGGAUGGGAGAGUAGAAUUCCUGGUGUAGCGGUGAAAUGCGUAGAUAUCANGAGGAAUACCGGUGGUU
RNAcentral lists this ribosomal RNA (694 nucleotides) under uncultured bacterium. RNAcentral describes it as "bacterial SSU rRNA". It matches the Rfam family "Bacterial small subunit ribosomal RNA", at positions 8 to 717 of the family's 1533-position model. The record is from RNAcentral.